GAUGAACGCUAGCGGGAGGCCUAACACAUGCAAGCCGAGCGGUAGAAUCUUUUCGGAGAUUUGAGAGCGGCGUACGGGUGAGGAACACGUGUGCAACCUGCCUUUAUCUGGGAGAUAGCCUUUCGAAAGGAAGAUUAAUAUCCCAUAAUAUAUUGAGUGGCAUCACUUAAUAUUGAAAGCUCCGGCGGAUAGAGAUGGGCACGCGCAAGAUUAGAUAGUUGGUGAGGUAACGGCUCACCAAGUCUACGAUCUUUAGGGGGCCUGAGAGGGUGAUCCACCACACUGGUACGGAGACACGGACCAGACUCCGACGGGAGGCAGCAGUGAGGAAUAUUGGACAAUGGGUGCAAGCCUGAUCCAGCCAUCCCGCGUGAAGGAUUAAGGUCCUAUGGAUUGUAAACUUCUUUUAUACAGGGAUAAACCUCUCCUCGUGAGGAGAGCUGAAGGUACUGUAUGAAUAAGCACCGGCUAACUCCGUGCCAGCAGCCGCGGUAA
This 495-nucleotide ribosomal RNA is filed under the name uncultured bacterium. RNAcentral's name for it is "partial 16S ribosomal RNA". It matches the Rfam family "Bacterial small subunit ribosomal RNA", at positions 28 to 523 of the family's 1533-position model. The record is from RNAcentral.